Sapajus apella (tufted capuchin) is the source of this 1667-nucleotide long non-coding RNA. RefSeq lists it as uncharacterized. The transcript is spliced from 2 exons. The record is from RefSeq and is a predicted model, not a curated record. NCBI's taxonomy places the organism in Eukaryota, Metazoa, Chordata, Mammalia, Primates, Cebidae.
AGUAGGUCUGGGGGUGGGGCCCUGGAUUUUCAUCAAAAUUGUAGAGCAUUUUAAGGUGAGUACCUGAGGGAGAACUUAAAGACAUCUUAUUUGGGGAGUAGUCCUUUUGAACUGUACAGCCAGAUGUAUUCUUCAGUCAGAUAAAAUUUAUGGGAGCCGGUGUCUUAUGCCUGACUCUUGGUAAUUUCAUACCUAAGAGUCUGAAAGUACAUGUGCCCAUGCCUAAAGCCUUGACUUUAAGAAUGUUGUCUUUUGAUUCUUCUAUCUUGAUUUAAUUAGGGGUGAAAUUUGGAAGUCUUAGUAGUGUAACUUUAAGAUGUUAAACAAAAAUCUCAAAAUGAAAAGCAAAUAUGGGCUACUGAAUUGUGAAACUGGCAUUCUAUUAUUAAAUCCUUACUUCAGGAGCUUUAAAAAAUACUGAAAGACCCCCAUAACCAGAGAUACAGAUUAAAAGAUUGAGGAUAGGACCUUAGCACUGUAGCUUUUUAAAGUUUCUAAUGUGCACCCAGGGUUGAGAAUCACUAAUGAGGGGGGUGAAAGCGCCUACAAAGGGGUUUUAGUGCCUUAGAAGUCAUAAGAAACCCAAUCUGUAUGAAAGCAGAUCCAUUUUGUAAGGAAUGAUUUCUCUCAAUAAGAACUUUAGAAGUAAUUGUGACAGUAAGAAGCAAGGACAGUCUAACGGCAGAGGCAACUUAAAUAACUCCAAAGCAGUUGGCACUAGAACAGAAUACUUGGAAUGACACCAAGCUUAACCAAGUCCAGCAUAUGUCCAGAGUGUUAAGUGUUUCAGUUACUGUAGCAUUCUGGGUGAGAAAUUGGUUGCUGAAAUCUUAAGACAGUGGCUCUCAAUCUUGGCUGCACAUUGGAUUCACCUGUAGGGUUUUAAAGCAUCCCAAAUGGUAACUAACAUGCAGCCAAACUUGAGAACUAGUUCUGCAUCUGCUGUACAAAGAUCUGAUUGACUGGUCAGAUACUGGUAGAACAGAACAAGUAAAAGAUUAAGAAUUUGAAACCAAUUUAACAUGUAUUGUUAUCGAAACAUAAAUAAAUAAAAAGGCCUGGACCAGCCUGGGCAACAUGGUGAAACACCAUCUCUACAAAAAAUUUUUAAAAAGUUAGCCAGGCAUGGUAAUGCAUGCCUGUAGUCCCAACUGCUCAGAAGACUGAGGUGGGAGGAUCACUUGAGCCUUGGAGGUCAAGGCUGCAGUGAGUCAUGAUCAUGCCACUACUCCAGCCUGGGCAACAGUGAGACCAUCUAAAAAAAGAAAUCCUUCCAUUGAAUGGAAACUUAAAAAAGUCCUUCAUAAGAUCAUGGCAUUAGCUACUUUAGCAAAAUAGUGUAAGAACAUUGGUUCUGAGUAAAAGUGACUUCUCUACCAGUUGUGAAUGUUAUUAUGCUGAUAAAACUGCCAAGAUAUAUUUGAUAGGCAGGGAUUAAACUCAUGGUUUGUCAAUGGUGUUUUUUUCCUAGUUUUAUUCUUUUUUUUUGUUUUUUUUAUUCUUAACAGAUGUUAAGAGGUAUUCAUAUUUGUUUCCUUUUGUGGUUUUAAUGAAGACAAUUUGUAAAGAAUGUAAUACUGUUAUGUGUAUGUUAAAUCUUGGUAAAUACUAAUUAGUUUCUUCAUUUGUAGACUUGUUUUGCAAUGACAUAUAUUUUUACUUAUAAG